UACGGGGGGGGCAAGCGUUGUUCGGAAUUACUGGGCGUAAAGGGCGCGUAGGCGGUUCGCUAAGUUGGAUGUGAAAACUCUGGGCUCAACCCAGAGCCUGCAUCCAAAACUGGCGGGCUAGAGUUCUGGAGGGGGUAGCGGAAUUCCUGGUGUAGCGGUGAAAUGCGUAGAUAUCAGGAGGAACACCAAUAGCGAAGGCAGCUCGCUGGGACGGUACUGACGCUGAGGCGCGAAAGCGUGGGGAGCGAACAGG
Molecule: ribosomal RNA, 253 nt
Filed under: uncultured bacterium
Lineage: Bacteria
Description: partial 16S ribosomal RNA
Rfam family: Bacterial small subunit ribosomal RNA
Source: RNAcentral